RNAcentral lists this long non-coding RNA (1431 nucleotides) under Strongylocentrotus purpuratus (purple sea urchin). Its description in RNAcentral is "uncharacterized LOC115924635, transcript variant X2". The record is from RNAcentral. Lineage: Eukaryota; Metazoa; Echinodermata; Echinoidea; Camarodonta; Strongylocentrotidae.
CCUUAAUCUUUUUCAGACUUCUUUUUACCUAUUUGCGAGUACUAUUUUCUUCCUAUUUUUUGCACUUAAAUUUUUUAUGACAUGAUACAAAUUUGUAAACUAUUUUUUGUCUAUUUUCUAAACUUGCAUAUUUUCAUUGUUUAUGACUGGCAUCCUAUUCAAAAAGCCCGCUUCUCCUGCCAUUAUCUCUGUUGUUCAUUUUGCGACUUAUUGGUUGUUUUUAGCUGUGGGGUCACAUAUUGAAUAGUGAGCUCAAAGAUGACCAUAAAUAAACAAUGUGUAAAAAGAAAAUGUACGAAAUUUCAAUUUUGUUCCUUUAUUAAUAUUCUUGAUUUUAUUUACAAACUAUAGUAGUGACUAGUGCACUCAAAGAUAACCAUACAUAAACCAUGUGUAAAAAGAAAAUGUACACAUAGAAAUUUCAACCAAAAAAAAUCUCCUUUAUUAAUAGAAAAAAAAGCAUUCGAUCGAGAUAUUCCCGUUCUAUGUGUGCGCAAAGUUUCAACGUAGAGGACAGUACGCAAGUACGUAAUUUGAAAAUUACCCGUUAUUUUUUUUCCCCACUGGCACUGCUGUGCGCAUCGGACUUUUGCUGAUUUUCGUUCAUCAAACGUCUCCAAAUCACACCAAAAUGUCUUCCAGCAAUUAUUCUAGCGAUGAAAUUUCAUCAAGAGAUAGUGACUCCUCAUACUCCGAUGCCUCCUUAUCCCAUUUUAGUGAUUCUUCCCAAGAAAAUGAGCCCGACAAAUGUUCAAAAUAUUACUAGUCCCACUCGUAGAGAAACGAGUUUGUUGUCGAAUUACGGACCAUCGACGAGCGGAACUGGCCCCAGAAAACAGCUGAAAAGGAAUCAGAAAACACAACCUGCUAAUAAAGCACCACGCAAGAAGAAGAGCAAGUCUUCCAAGUCCGAGAGUGUGUCUGCGAGAUCAAUUGAAACUAAUCAAGCUACAAUGUACAUGUAACGUACAAUCACCAUUCGAUGCCUGUGAACAGCAUGACCAACAUCUGUAUCCUUUACAUUAGUAUUUGUUUCCAUUUUAUUAUGUAAUUCUUAUGUCUAAUCAUUGAGAUUCAUAGGCAAGUACAACAUGUACGUGUACACAAUGAGUGCCUGCAUAUUGUGAAGAUAAAGGACCAUAAGACCAUUACUUAUGAUACAUGGUAAUGAUGGUAUACUUUGUAAAACUAUUUGAAAAUAGUAGCAUGUAAGUCUGUCAUUUUCUUGUUUAUAUAUAUCUCAAUGACAUGACAUGUCAUUGAUUUUGUAGUAAGUGUUUCUAGAUUAUGAUGAUUGUAUUAAGAUUUUGACAGUUCAAUUGAGAUUGAGAAAAUUAUGUAACAUGUCAACUGUACAAUAGAGCAUGCAUGCAUUGUUGAAAAAUCUGUUUUAUGAUUUAUUUUAUUUUGUUAUCUUUGUAAAUAACGAGA